ACGGCCUUGCACGGCCCGUGCCUUUCGGGCCCAAAGGUCAUGCUGGGCUAGAGACUUAGUAGCUUCGGCCCGGCACGGUACGGCAUGGUACGGCCCGGAUUUGGAACCAGGCCGGGCCAGGCCCCUAGCCCGAAUUGGCCCGACUAACGUGAGUCAUGCCGGGCCAGGCCGGCCCCUAGCCCGAAAUGGCACGGCUAAUGUGAGUCAUGCCGGGCCAGGCCGGCCCCUAGCCCGAAUUGGCCCGGCUAAUGUGAGUCAUGCCGGCCCGGCACGGCCCACAUUACAGCCCUACACUGUCGGAUCGUUGGCGCUAACCAUUAAUCCCAAAAGCUCGAGCUGUUAGAAAUACGCAACCAAUUCACUUAAAGCGUACAGAAACAGCGCCCAUGGGUCUCGAUUGUGACUUGGCCCACCUGGCCUCACGCCACUUCGAACAUGACUCGGUCCAACCCAGCCUCACGCCAUUUCGAACAUGACUCGGCCCACAUGGCCUCCCGCCACAGGGCAGGAUGCUGGCCCAUUUAAGCCAACAAUCCCCCCUCCAGCACCUGCACACAUUUGCAGCAUGCAGGAAUCGAACCCGUGACCUCUGGCUCUGAUACCACUUGUCGGAUCGUUGCCGCUAACCAUUAAUCCCAAAAGCUCGAGCUGUUAGAAAUACGCAACCAAUUCACUUAAAGUGUACAGAAACAGCGCCCACGGGUCUCGAUUGUGACUCGGCCCACCUGGCCUCAUGCCACUUCGAACAUGACUCGGCCCAACCCAGCCUCACGCCAUUUCGAACAUGACUCGACCCACAUGGCCUCCCGCCACAGGGCAGGAUGCUGGCCCAUUUAAGCCAACAUACACUUGCACUAGUCAGUCACUAAAUAGUAUUUCCAAUGUUGAUUCACAAGGUUCAACAAGCAAUCAUGCCCAUUGGUGUUCCGAAAGUACAUUUUCGGAGUCUUGAAGAGAAAGAUGUGAUUUGGGUUGAAGUAUAGUGCGACUUGUUAGACAUAUUGGGCCAUAUGGGAUUUGCAAUUUCUCUCUCCUGAUCGAGAUAUCUUCUGUUGCAGUUAAGCUCCAUUCUGCCUUUGCACUCAAGGAACAACCACUAGUCACUUCUAGUAGAAAGAAAGUAUCGUCGUAAUCUAAUAAUAGAACGAUUUGUUCUUCGAACAGUGAAAGUAAAGAAAGAGAGAAACAAAUAAAGAAAAAAACUAGGCGGUAGAUUGAUAGAAACUUCUGGUAAAAUACCCACCAGUACCCUAACAGAUAAAGUACAUUAUAUAGUCCGUUUUAAGGAUUGUCGACUUACUCAUUCAAUGACUUCAGUACUGGACAUUACUAAACUAAUUCUCUUAAUUGGUUUUUAUUACCCAGUAUCCAUCAAAAGAAUCAAUAGAGGAAGAAUAGUAUGGGAAUAUACUAUAGCAAAAGAAAACAAAACCAAGGAAUUUUUCCUGAUUUUCCAUCCCAAAAAGUCAUUGAUUGAGUCAUUAAUAGAUUAUUUACGAAGUUCUAUGGUAAUUUUUUAGAAAAUCUGUUUCAAUUGUCCUGCAGAUUGACUCCCUAGCCUCUGAGUCAGCAUCAAAGUACC
This 1582-nucleotide long non-coding RNA is filed under the name Ananas comosus (pineapple). Its description in RNAcentral is "long non-coding RNA (ACOM_LNC014836)". Lineage: Eukaryota; Viridiplantae; Streptophyta; Magnoliopsida; Poales; Bromeliaceae. The record is from RNAcentral.